CAACAUUUGUCGAGUUAGUCAACGUGUAUUCAAGAACCUUUGUCACUUGUUGAGAGAAGAGAGAGGGUUGCUACAUACUAAAAACAUGGAGAUUGAUGAAAUGGGUGGCAAUAUUUCUCGUAACCGUUGGCCACAACAUUAAAAAACCGGAAAGCACAGUUCCUCUUCCAACGAUCCAGCGAGACAAUUAGUCGAACUUUCAAGCGUGUCCUCUUGGCGAUUCUGAAAGUCAGUCCCCUACUUCUCGCCACCCCCACGACGGUCCUUCUUGAUUGCACCGAUUGACGAUUGUGGUACUUUCUGGUAAGUGCUGAAAUUGUCAUGUGCAGUAAUGAGAUUAACAAUCACAAAAUCUUUUGCAACAGGGUUGUUUAGGAGCAAUGGAUGGGAUGAUGGUGUCCGUUCGUGGUUCGUCUGAGGAUGCACCAAAGUACCGGAACCGUAAAUCCAUAACUGCCAUUAACUUCCUCGGCGUCUGCAACUGGAGUAUGGCAUUCGUCUAUUGCUUAAGUGGAUGGCCCGGAUCUACACAUGAUGGUCGCGUUCUUCAUGAUGCAAUGGCCCAAAACGUAAAUUCCUUUGUCAUUCUUAAAGAUGCAACGCCCCAAACGUUCCGUCAUUUAACCUAUCUCCUUAACUUUUAGCUGUAACUAGUUACGAUGGCCGCGUGAUGCUGCAAAGUUUUUAUUCGUUAUUGGUGUGACUUUACUUACUCGUAGGUUAUAGUGGUUGCACUAUACCACAAAGACUUUAAUAUCUUAAAUUUCAUAUCCUCCUAAAUUUUUAGUUAUCGUGAGAACAAUUAUUAUAUGGUCGAUGAUAUCAAUAAUAAAGCAUUUGAAAAAUCAGGAUAUAAAAGAAAGUUAGCAGUAAGGGAAAAAAAGGAGAGUGACAAUUAUUAUUUCAUUGUUGAGUUGGUAAAAUGACAUUAUUAUUCCCUUGAUUAUAUUAUACCAAUAUUAUAAGAUACUAUCAUGUCAUUAUUAUAUCAACUUUUUAGCACUAUCACAAAAUGUUGAUGGUCUCAUAACAAAAAUCUGCAAUAAAAUAUAUAAAGAUUGCUUUAGUGAUUGGUGACUCGGAGGUCUUAGGUUCGAUUUCAACACAUAUCAUGAAGGCAUGAAUGGAUAUCGUUGUAAUAAUGUUUAUUUCACUUUUUGAUAGUGCCUUGACACAAAUAUAAAAUAAAAUAUAUCAUGAUUGCUUUAGUAGUGGAGUUGUGCCAGCUAGUCAUCCGAAGCAGUUGUGCCAGCUAGGCACGUGAAGGUCUCGGGUUCGAACCCAUGCAUGACAGACCUAGGAUGUGACUUCUCCGGGCACGUGCCCUCCCCUUUUCGGCGUCGGGAGUGACAAAUCUAAUUAUUAAAUUAUGAUUUUUUUUAUUUCAACUUAGUAAUGUUUCAAAUUUGGCCGCGUGCUACUUUCAAUCCUCGCACCGUCACUGAUAUCAUAAAUGGACACUGUUGUAAUGUUUAAUCGCUUCUGUUAUUUAACUUAGUAAUAUUUUAUAUGUGACCACGUGCUACUUUCAAUCUUAGAACCGUCUCUGAUCCAUAAAUGCAACAUUGUUGUAAUGUUUAUUGCGGUUACUAUCUUGUAUUGGCUNNNNNNNNNNNNNNNNNNNNNNNNNNNNNNNNNNNNNNNNNNNNNNNNNNNNNNNNNNNNNNNNNNNNNNNNNNNNNNNNNNNNNNNNNNNNNNNNNNNNNNNNNNNNNNNNNNNNNNNNNNNNNNNNNNNNNNNNNNNNNNNNNNNNNNNNNNNNAAUUAUAAGAUUAAAAAAAAAUUUAUAAAAAAGUAAACUCCCAUCUUUCUUCUCUGUCAUGACCCACUCUCUGUCAUGACCCACUGCCACCUUAAUUGUUAUAUAUUAUUCCACUACCUUACACAAACUAAAACAUAAAUAAUGGUUAGAAAUCAACUAAAAUUAAAGAAAUGAUGGUUACAUUGGGAGAGGAAUUUACGGUUCACGUGAACAGUAAGAAACAGUAACUCCCCUUGCUUUUUUAAUCUUAAUGUUAGUACGAGAUUAUGAAUUCGUUGGAGUUGGUAUUGUUAUGAGUUUAAUUGAAACCUAAACAGCUGUAAUUAAGUUAUACUACGAUGUUAUGGUCUUGUCAAACUAUAAGUACCAUUAAUGAAAGGGAAAACAAUGCUCACAAUAACAUUUCUUGUCGAGGGUUUAGGAUGUAGUUGUGUAAGAAUGAAGCUUUCGAAAAACUGGUUCGCCAUCUUCGUUUCUUUUGUUGAAAACAAUGGGUCUUAAAGAAUUUCUGCCUGGAAAAUGUUCUGUAUUGUGUCACUGAGAUAUGGUUCUUCGAUUUAUGGGAUCCUGUUUAUUGACUAUACACAGAACUCAGUGAGAGUGUAAUGUUGAUUUACCUACAUAUGUGUACAGUUUGACUGUGUUGUACAUUAACUUUCACUUAUGUGUUGGUGGAUGUAAUGAGCUAAUCUGCAGAACAAAAGUGGGGGGAUCUCAUCCCUGCUUACUUUUGAUCCAACUUCCCUUUGCUGUUCAAACCCAACUAUGGUAUCAUAAUGCUUUGACUCGUUUCUAUACCUGCACAAUCAAUUCAUUAAUAUAGACAGAAAUGGUAUGCGUUCAGCAUUAUUUAGUCAAACACAUUCAAUUGAUCUUUCACUCGUACACUAGAUAUGUGAACAGAUGUAUGGCAUAUAAUUGUCUCUGUGUUGCUUACGUCUUCUUGUUCACUGUUUGCACAGGGAAAUACUACAUCAUGAAGAUGCGUUGGGCUCUCCUUCAAGACUCUUCAUGGUUUUCUCGGACGAAUUUCUCGAUGAUUGUCAAUGCUUGUGCCCUUUUACAUAACUACAUUCGGGGAGUUUUGGGACCUGAUAUCUUCGAGCAAGCUUAACACGAACCGAACUUGUCAACGUCGGAGACAGAAAUCCCCACAUAUGACCAGCUUAUAACUUUGGUUGACCGCAGUGACGAAUGGAAUCACCUGCGUGAUGCUAUGGCAACUGAGAUGUGGGCUACUAGGCAUGCACAUUGAAACAAAACAGUCUGGUUUGAUGUUUCUUUUGUACUGUUCAAGUUAGUAGACACAUUAGUGUGUAGGAAGUCUACGUCCAUGAACCUGUCAUGUAUCCCUUUGGAACUACUUUCAUGAAUUUCAUUCAACUUGUCAUCCAAGAUUCUGUGUUUGUUAUAUAACAAGUGGUUUUGCUAAAAGUAGUAACCCAUUUGUCAUUACACUGCCACUUGUUACAGGUGAAUUACAGGAUGUCCCGUAAGUACAAUUCGUAGUCGAAGCCGGAGGAGAAUUCGUUUUUUGAAAUUCUCCACAAUCUGCUGUCAACCGAUCAACUACAAAAGGGGGUGCUGGUCGGUCCAAGCUUCUCUCAGCUUGUAGCUCAACUGAAGGAGCUUCAGCCAUCAUGUACACACGAUGCUAUAACGGUGAAGCCGAAGUCAGAUGGUACAAGAACAAGUUCAAUGCACAGUUGGAUCUAAUGAACUCAUUAGGCAUAGGUUGGAACGACGCACGAGGUUGUUGCGAAUGUGACUCUGAGACUUGGAGGUUGUGGGUUAAGGUUAAAUGAUUUCUUUUGAUGUUAUUUUUUCAUAUUAUGCACGUAGUUUAGGGAAUGUAUUCAUAUUAAACAGAUUGUGAGAUGGUUGAACCCCAAACCCAGGAAACAGUAAGCAUUGUCUUCAUUAGAAGACUAAGUCACACGUAUAUACUGAUUCUAUACAUUGCAUAAGCAAACUCUAAUUCAAAAGUUAGCUCAUUCACUGUUGUUAUAACAGUUAGCUCAUUUACUGUCACAAAUGGACUUAAAUUAUAUUAUUGUAUAGUGGAUUUUAGCCUCUUGUAUCAAUCUAACUCGCUCACAUUGACUCAUUCCUCUUCUCUAUUUCAGAGUCAUCCAUUCGUAGCAGGGCUGCAACACGCGAAACUGGAACGGUGAGAUGAAUUAUUUAAGAUCUUCGAGUGAGGCCGUGCUGAUGGGACGGAGUCCAUGACGGCAACUGAAGCUGCAACAGCUCUAUAAGCUGAAUUGAAUGCAGGUUUCAGCGAGCCACAAUUGGGGAAUGAUAACUACACAGCUGAGGCGACCCCGA
Molecule: long non-coding RNA, 4089 nt
Filed under: Linum usitatissimum (flax)
Lineage: Eukaryota; Viridiplantae; Streptophyta; Magnoliopsida; Malpighiales; Linaceae
Description: long non-coding RNA (LUSI_LNC004917)
Source: RNAcentral